Non-coding RNA from Flavobacterium sp., 83 nucleotides. Lineage: Bacteria; Pseudomonadati; Bacteroidota; Flavobacteriia; Flavobacteriales; Flavobacteriaceae. The record is from Rfam.
CUCUAGCCCCGAUAGAAGUGGAAAUCCUUGUGGAGGCAGGCAUCUACGCCGACACAAGAUUGAAAUGGAUAGCGGGAAACAGC